ACAACCCUGGGCUAUUUGCCAGCCGCGAAAAGUCCUCGAGCCUAUUUUACGAAUUUAGGGGGCGCCUAGUUGAUGUUGUGCGCAUGUCUGCUCCGGCAGAAAGCCUAAUACAUUGCGGGGGUCACCGCCUUGGACUGCUUGGUUCAAGGUCUUCCGUAGCAGCGGUAGUCUGGGGCUAAC
Molecule: non-coding RNA, 180 nt
Filed under: Reinekea marinisedimentorum
Lineage: Bacteria; Pseudomonadati; Pseudomonadota; Gammaproteobacteria; Oceanospirillales; Saccharospirillaceae
Description: 6S / SsrS RNA
Rfam family: 6S / SsrS RNA
About the family: E. coli 6S RNA was the first non coding RNA to be sequenced, but its function was unknown until recently. It consists of 184 nucleotides that fold into an extended hairpin structure with a large single-stranded internal bulge.
Source: Rfam by way of RNAcentral